RNAcentral lists this transfer RNA (73 nucleotides) under Orbicella faveolata. RNAcentral's name for it is "tRNA-Thr". It matches the Rfam family "tRNA". Rfam says of the family: Transfer RNA (tRNA) molecules are approximately 80 nucleotides in length. Lineage: Eukaryota; Metazoa; Cnidaria; Anthozoa; Scleractinia; Merulinidae. The record is from RNAcentral.
GGCUUGAUAGCUCAGAUGGUAGAGCACUGCAUCUGUAUCGCAGAGGUCAUGGGUUCGAAUCCCGUUCAGGCCU